Molecule: transfer RNA, 72 nt
Filed under: Candidatus Aenigmatarchaeota archaeon
Lineage: Archaea; Nanobdellati; Candidatus Aenigmatarchaeota
Description: tRNA-Arg
Rfam family: tRNA
About the family: Transfer RNA (tRNA) molecules are approximately 80 nucleotides in length.
Source: RNAcentral
GGGCCUGUAGUGUAGUGGAUAGCAUAGAACCUUGCGGAGGUUCUGACCCGGGUUCAACUCCCGGCAGGCCCA